UACGGAGGGUGCGAGCGUUGUCCGGAAUCACUGGGCGUAAAGGGCGCGUAGGUGGCCGAGCAAGGUCGCGGUGAAAGCUUGGGGCUCAACCCCAAGUCGGCCGUGGCAACUACUUGGCUUGAGCACUGUAGGGGCGGGUGGAAUUCCGGGUGUAGCGGUGGAAUGCGUAGAGAUCGGGAAGAACAUCAGUGGCGAAGGCGGCCUGCUGGGCUGUUGCUGACGCUGAGGCGCGACAGCGUGGGGAGCAAACAGG
RNAcentral lists this ribosomal RNA (253 nucleotides) under uncultured bacterium. RNAcentral's name for it is "partial 16S ribosomal RNA". It matches the Rfam family "Bacterial small subunit ribosomal RNA", at positions 524 to 776 of the family's 1533-position model. The record is from RNAcentral.